Molecule: small RNA, 132 nt
Filed under: Salmonella enterica
Lineage: Bacteria; Pseudomonadati; Pseudomonadota; Gammaproteobacteria; Enterobacterales; Enterobacteriaceae
Description: RtT sRNA
Rfam family: RtT RNA
About the family: This family represents a bacterial cis-regulatory element known as RtT RNA. The exact function of RtT is unknown although it is thought that it may be involved in changing the cellular response in relation to amino acid starvation.
Source: RNAcentral
AUAUCUCUCUGUACGGGAAGGAUGAGAAGCUUCGACUAAGGUUCGAUUCGAGCGUCAGCGAGAAAGCGUUGCCGCAGGCAACGACCCGAAGGGCGAAGCGCGCAGCGCUGAGUCAUCCUUCCCCCACCAACA